Molecule: ribosomal RNA, 571 nt
Filed under: Alternaria sp. BAB-5445
Lineage: Eukaryota; Fungi; Ascomycota; Dothideomycetes; Pleosporales; Pleosporaceae
Description: eukaryotic LSU rRNA
Rfam family: 5.8S ribosomal RNA (bases 198-351)
Source: RNAcentral
CUUCCGUAGGUGAACCUGCGGAGGGAUCAUUACACAAAUAUGAAGGCGGGCUGGAACCUCUCGGGGUUACAGCCUUGCUGAAUUAUUCACCCUUGUCUUUUGCGUACUUCUUGUUUCCUUGGUGGGUUCGCCCACCACUAGGACAAACAUAAACCUUUUGUAAUUGCAAUCAGCGUCAGUAACAAAUUAAUAAUUACAACUUUCAACAACGGAUCUCUUGGUUCUGGCAUCGAUGAAGAACGCAGCGAAAUGCGAUAAGUAGUGUGAAUUGCAGAAUUCAGUGAAUCAUCGAAUCUUUGAACGCACAUUGCGCCCUUUGGUAUUCCAAAGGGCAUGCCUGUUCGAGCGUCAUUUGUACCCUCAAGCUUUGCUUGGUGUUGGGCGUCUUGUCUCUAGCUUUGCUGGAGACUCGCCUUAAAGUAAUUGGCAGCCGGCCUACUGGUUUCGGAGCGCAGCACAAGUCGCACUCUCUAUCAGCAAAGGUCUAGCAUCCAUUAAGCCUUUUUUCAACUUUUGACCUCGGAUCAGGUAGGGAUACCCGCUGAACUUAAGCAUAUCAAUAAGCGGAGGA